AAAAAGUUUUAUUCUAGCUUAAUAGUUGAUUAAAAGAAUGAAUUUCAUGUAAUUAUUUAUCUAGAUGAAUAUUUAUGCAGAAGUUAAUAUUGUACAAUUAAAUUGGUUUAGAUAUAGUAAUUCAUAAAAUAUUGGUGAAGGACGUGCCAGCUGCCGCGGUUAUACGUGAAAUGUAAAUUAAUUUGUUUAGUUAUAAAGUUAUAAGUGAAGAAGUAAUUGAGGUUUUGGUAAAGAUUAAUAUUGAGAUAGAAUGUUUUAUUAAUUUGUUAAAGAGAUUUAUUUUUGAAGCUUUGUAAUUUUGUGAUAAACUAGGAUUAGAUACCCUAUUAUAGUAAUUGUAAAUUAAAAUGCUAAAGUAGUAAGAGUUAUGGUCUUGAAACUUAAAGAAUUUGGCGGUGUUUUAACUAUUCAGAGGAAUCUGUUUUGUAAUUGAUAAUACACGAGUGUAGAAUACUUAAUUUUUAUUUGUAUAUCGCCGUCAUUAGGUUGUUUUGAUUAGAAAAUUUUUAAGUUCCGAUAUUAUUUUAAAAAUAAAGAUGUCAGGUCAAGGUGCAGUUUAUAAUUGAGAAGUUAAUGGUUUACAAUAAAUAGAUAUUUAUAUGGAAUAUUAUAUGGAUUAUAUAGUAUGAAAGUGGAUUUGAUAGUAAAUUAAUAUAAAUUUGUUAGUUGAAAUAGCUCUAAAACAUGUACAUAUCGCCCGUCGCUCUCAAUUGUUUUGAGAUAAGUCGUAACAAAGUAGAUGUAUUGGAAAAUGUAUCUAGAAUGA
This 766-nucleotide non-coding RNA is filed under the name Ornebius bimaculatus. The record is from RNAcentral. Lineage: Eukaryota; Metazoa; Arthropoda; Insecta; Orthoptera; Mogoplistidae.